Long non-coding RNA from Phacochoerus africanus (Common warthog), 270 nucleotides. RefSeq lists it as uncharacterized. The transcript has 3 exons. The record is from RefSeq and is a predicted model, not a curated record. Lineage: Eukaryota; Metazoa; Chordata; Mammalia; Artiodactyla; Suidae.
AUGUGGCCAUCAAUUUCUCUCCAGAGGAGUGGGAAUGUCUGGACCUCGGUCAACGGGACCUGUACAGAGAUGUGAUGAUAGAGAUCUGUAGGCACCUGGUCUCCUUGGAGUAUGUUAUCUCUAAGCCAGACCUGGUUCGCCUGUUGGAACAAAAGACAGAUCCCUGGGAUGUGAAGGGAAUGGAGACAGUAGCCAUACAGCCAGGGAGGAUUCUCUCUCACAUCCACAUGGAGAGCCAGAAUCCUGGUCUUGACCUGUGAGGACCUGAAU